Molecule: ribosomal RNA, 249 nt
Filed under: Theileria equi
Lineage: Eukaryota; Apicomplexa; Aconoidasida; Piroplasmida; Theileriidae
Description: partial 18S ribosomal RNA
Rfam family: Eukaryotic small subunit ribosomal RNA
Source: RNAcentral
AAUGAUGGGAAUUUAAACCUCUUCCAGAGUAUCAAUUGGAGGGCAAGUCUGGUGCCAGCAGCCGCGGUAAUUCCAGCUCCAAUAGCGUAUAUUAAACUUGUUGCAGUUAAAAAGCUCGUAGUUGAAUUUCUGCUGCAUCGUGGUUCUUCGCUAUGUCGAGUGGGCCUCGUUGUGGCUUAGUUGGGGCAUGUUUUCAUGACUCGACGUUUACUUUGAGAAAAUUAGAGUGCUCAAGCAGGCUUUUGCCUU